CAUGGCUCAGAACGAACGCUGGCGGCAUGCCUAACACAUGCAAGUCGAACGAAGGCUUCGCCUUAGUGGCACGGGUGAGUAACACGUGGGAACCUGCCUUUCGGUUCGGAAUAACGUCUGGAAACGGACGCUAACACCGGAUACGUCCUUCGGGAGAAAGUUUACGCCGAGAGAGGGGCCCGCGUCGGAUUAGGUAGUUGGUGUGGUAACGGCGCACCAAGCCGACGAUCCGUAGCUGGUCUGAGAGGAUGAUCAGCCACACUGGGACUGAGACACGGCCCAGACUCCUACGGGAGGCAGCAGUGGGGAAUAUUGGACAAUGGGCGCAAGCCUGAUCCAGCAAUGGCCGGUGAGUGAUGAAGGCCUUAGGGUUGUAAAGCUCUUUCGCACGCGACGAUGAUGACGGUAGCGUGAGAAGAAGCCCCGGCUAACUUCGUGCCAGCAGCCGCGGUAAUACGAAGGGGGCUAGCGUUGUUCGGAAUUACUGGGCUAAAGGGCGCGUAGGCGGCCUGUUUAGUCAGAAGUGAAAGCCCCGGGCUCAACCUGGGAAUAGCUUUUGAUACUGGCAGGCUUGAGUUCCGGAGAGGAUGGUGGAAUUCCCAGUGUAGAGGUGAAAUUCGUAGAUAUUGGGAAGAACACCGGUGGCGAAGGCGGCCAUCUGGACGGACACUGACGCUGAGGCGCGAAAGCGU
Molecule: ribosomal RNA, 692 nt
Filed under: uncultured Azospirillum sp.
Lineage: Bacteria; Pseudomonadati; Pseudomonadota; Alphaproteobacteria; Rhodospirillales; Azospirillaceae
Description: bacterial SSU rRNA
Rfam family: Bacterial small subunit ribosomal RNA
Source: RNAcentral